UGUCCUAAUGAAUCGGCCUAUCAAAAUCCCAAUAGGACCAGUCCACUAUAGAAUGAUGCUACUGGGCCUCCCUAGGCCGACAUGAACCAGCAACUAAUUCAGCCUAUCGAGAUUGAUUUGGGCUUGAGCAAUACUGGAGAUAACACAAAGGAAGUAUGGAGGCAAAGUUAGGGUGCAGAGGGAAGUAAUGUUGCUAUUGGAUCGAAGCGAACUCGAAUAAUCUCCAAGAAAUUGGAUGGAUACCAGUUUGAAUUACCAUCAUCUCUCGUGCCGUCUCAUCCACCCAC
This 287-nucleotide long non-coding RNA is filed under the name Elaeis guineensis (African oil palm). RNAcentral's name for it is "long non-coding RNA (EGUI_LNC028076)". The record is from RNAcentral. Lineage: Eukaryota; Viridiplantae; Streptophyta; Magnoliopsida; Arecales; Arecaceae.